UGUGAAACAACCUGGGGCUGAUCGCUGA
RNAcentral lists this non-coding RNA (28 nucleotides) under Rattus norvegicus (Norway rat). The record is from RNAcentral. Lineage: Eukaryota; Metazoa; Chordata; Mammalia; Rodentia; Muridae.